GCAGGCGGGUUUAAUCCCGUCCUUAUCAAGC
Molecule: transfer RNA, 31 nt
Filed under: Trachylepis maculilabris
Lineage: Eukaryota; Metazoa; Chordata; Lepidosauria; Squamata; Scincidae
Description: partial tRNA-Tyr
Source: RNAcentral